Cryptomeria japonica (Japanese cedar) is the source of this 335-nucleotide long non-coding RNA. RefSeq lists it as uncharacterized. Lineage: Eukaryota; Viridiplantae; Streptophyta; Pinopsida; Cupressales; Cupressaceae. The transcript has 3 exons. The record is from RefSeq and is a predicted model, not a curated record.
GUAAAAUGUAAUUCUAAUCUUUCCUGUCUGGUAAACGUAUUUUUUCUCAGUUGCAGUUCAUUUCUAUCAAAGCUAUCUGUUUGGGUAUAACUAAUUUGGCGAGUUUCUUGGAAGGUCUAAUUAUUGGCGGUUUGGCAAACAUUUCAAACACAAAAGAGAGUGUUAGCCCGCUGACCACCAGGGCUAUUGCAAAAGCUUCAGCGGUAGCUUUAGGGGGGCAUGCUAUGAUUUUCGGCGUACAGCUGGCAAGGGACGUCCAUAAAUGAUGAUCAUCAAGAACUUAGAGAAUGCUAUGAUUGGAUUUGCUAUUGUUAUCAUCACUGUCCGAAUUGAAA